UAGGGAAUCUUCGGCAAUGGACGGAAGUCUGACCGAGCAACGCCGCGUGAGUGAAGAAGGUUUUCGGAUCGUAAAGCUCUGUUGUAAGAGAAGAACGAGUGUGAGAGUGGAAAGUUCACACUGUGACGGUAUCUUACCAGAAAGGGACGGCUAACUACGUGCCAGCAGCCGCGGUAAUACGUAGGUCCCGAGCGUUGUCCGGAUUUAUUGGGCGUAAAGCGAGCGCAGGCGGUUAGAUAAGUCUGAAGUUAAAGGCUGUGGCUUAACCAUAGUACGCUUUGGAAACUGUUUAACUUGAGUGCAAGAGGGGAGAGUGGAAUUCCAUGUGUAGCGGUGAAAUGCGUAGAUAUAUGGAGGAACACCGGUGGCGAANAAAGCGGCUCUCUGGCUUGUAACUGACGCUGAGGCUCGAAAGCGUGGGGAGCAAACAGGAUUAGAUACCCUGGUAGUCCACGCCGUAAACGAUGAGUGCUAGGUGUUAGACCCUUUCCGGGGUUUAGUGCCGCAGCUAACGCAUUAAGCACUCCGCCUGGGGAGUACGACCGCAAGGUUG
Molecule: ribosomal RNA, 553 nt
Filed under: uncultured bacterium
Lineage: Bacteria
Description: bacterial SSU rRNA
Rfam family: Bacterial small subunit ribosomal RNA
Source: RNAcentral